RNAcentral lists this long non-coding RNA (482 nucleotides) under Prunus persica (peach). RNAcentral describes it as "long non-coding RNA (PPER_LNC001687)". The record is from RNAcentral. Lineage: Eukaryota; Viridiplantae; Streptophyta; Magnoliopsida; Rosales; Rosaceae.
UCCACCAAGAAAGUAAACUGCUUAAAAAGUAUAGCAAAGAAUUCGGGACCUCACAAGCACUUAACCAGAAAUUUAGGGACCUUACAAACCCAGAGAAUAGUCUCAGAAUCACUUUCUAAAUCCAAAAGCAGUCUCCUUUACUACAAUACCGAUGAAUAUUAGACAGAAAUUUACAGCAGUUUUGGUUUCAACUCAUCCUAUGGACAACCCCAAAAGAAGUCAAAAGUCACUUAAUACAUCAUCAACCAAAAUACUGAUUCAACAAAUAUUCCAUUUUUUCCCCAACGCGCAGCAUAUAUGACCCACACAAACAGAAGGAGCCAGCGAAUACCCAGAAACUGCAAUCACAACGACACAAAACGAAUAAAAAAAUAUAAGCUGUGCAGAUAAGUAGAAAUUUCUAAUUCGCAAUAAAUAAAUAAAUCAUAAAGGAAACGGAGGCUUCCUUCAUUGAAGGGAGAGUUACCAAAACUACAUUUCCG